AUGUCACGAGCCUAUCUAUUCUUUUCCAUUGUUGUUUGGUUGGCUGGUGUUAGUGGUGGAGCUUUGUGGACAGAAGCUUGUGUCCUUUUUAUCUGCAAAUCAAGAGAUUUUAGUUCCAUGCCAGAGGCCAGAGGGCGUGGAAUUUCCAUGGAUAUUCACUGGAGUGUUAAGGGUUCAAAAUUGGAAUCACUUGUCACCAAAUAAUGUUUAAAACUAUUUGAGAUUGUUGGCUUAGAGUAGCAGUCAAAUCAUAGGACAUGGCAAGGCCAAGGGAAAACACACCCCAGGAUGGAGAACAGGUUCCAAAAGCUGAGGAAAGACGUUGAGAAGGUUGUGCAUACUUCUUCAGUCUCAGCAGAACCUUUUCAAUAGUGAGAGAAAGGGUAAGUAAGUACAUUCAUCUGCUUUUCUCUGUAUUGUUUAGUAUCAACAAAGUGGAGUUUGAUGACAAAAGAUCUUUUUUCUUCAUCUUUCUUCCCUUUCUCUUCCAAUUUUUUGAAGGCACCAGUAUCUUGAAAACCAGUCAAUGAAACUCCAAGGGCCUGCUUGAAAAUAAAUGUCGAUAGCCAUGUAUUGCAUGCAAGGAGGGUCCGUGAAUGUGUUUAUUUACCAUGAUGCUUUCUGAAACAUGAGAAAUAAAUUCUUUACACUGGAACCACAGAGGGGCUCUGCUUCUGAAAGCAGGCAGUCCGAAUGCUUGUCUUUGUUUCCCUAUUCUUGGUUGAGAUGAAAUCCAGACACUUGGGGGCUUGGGAAAAUCCGGCGUGUGGUUUGUUUCAAGGCAUUCUCUUCUAAGAUUCUGUUGCCAGUCUGUAGAACAGACCCUUUUCUCCGUCUCCUGCACCCCCUCCCCAUGCUUGCACCCCGUGGCCAGAGAGCCAAAUAUUACGAGCCAAGAGUGUUUUCAAUAGAAAUACUGGGAAAAUGCUGUUUCUAAUGGCAUAGAAAAAGCAAACAGAAUGAAGGCCAUUGUUAUGGGAAUCUUAAACCCAGAACUCUGAAGAAGGAAGGUAUAAGCACAGCCGAAUACUGUAGGAAGAACGUUCCUGCUUUCCAACAGGGAAAAUCAAAGGUAGUGUUUCUUGUCACAUUUUGUAUUUUUCAAAUAAAUACCUCCAGAAGAACAUACCAGAAAUUAUAUUGUAAGCACAUUAUGAGUAAGCACAUGAAUGUUUUAAUUUCUUUGCUCAAAAAAUAGUUACUAAUUGCAUGCUAAUGUGUGAAGCAUUUUUGAAGGUAUAAUUCUUUCUGAGGAGAAUUAUAUAGAAUUGUCACAUUAUAUUGUCACUAUCUGUAUAUCAUGUGACUCUUUCAUCAGAUAAGGCCUCUCUCCAGUCAAGGGAGGGCUCAUUUCACUUUUCUGUAGCUCCAGGCAUGUUCCAUGGUUUGUAAGCCUCAGAUUCCAGGGACUUACAUCAUGCAGGAGAGUUAAAUGUUUGUGCUCAUAAGCAUGCACCUAGUUAUGAACUAUUGAGCCUUGUCAGUGUUGUGGCCAGUCUGUGUUAUUACAGUUCAGAGAUAGCUGAUGAGUUGGAAAUGGGGUGCUGGAGAGGAUCAGGAACUGUUCAUAAGGGAGUAUGCGCUGGGCACACAGAGACAAGUAAGAUGUGAAUAGGCAGAGAAAAUAAUAAUAAAAGCCUGAGAUAAGAAGGGGGUCCAGGAAAUGGAAAAUUAAUCUUGUACUGUGAGAUGAACUCUCUGAAUUUCAAAUUUGAGCAUGAUUUGAAGUAGCAUGUUAUAGUGAAAACAAUAAACAGAUAAUUACUUCGUUUUAUUGUCAGAUGGAUACAGCUUCUGUCUCUGCAUUGACGCUUACUAGAAGGCUGCUACCUUAGGAACACUGCUUAAACUCAGUGAGACUGAUGUCUCUGGCUAUAAAAUGAGACUACUGUACUCUGCUGAUUUAUCUUAUCCCCACUGCCUUGAACAUUGCUUUUCAUAGAGAAAGAGGUUAAAAUAAAUAUUUGGUGAAUGAACACCCAUCAAAGAAGCAGAAUCAAAUGAAAUAACACGGGAGUGCCAAUUACAUAGUAUGCACUCAAUACAUAUUGGUUCUGUAGCUUUCUCCCUUUUUCUUGCUGUUCAGAAAAUUUUAUUGCCUUUGCAUUCCAUAAUCUAGCUUCCAUUUAUAUUUCCAAAUAAAUUCCCCAUUAUUUUUUUACCUACCAAGUAUGUUACUCACUGAUACUUGUAUAUUAUUCAUAAUCUAUUUUAACUUAAACUAUUGCCUUUUUCCAUAUUAUACUUUCCUUGCAUUUUCAUAUAUUCAAAAAUCAACCCAUUCUUCAAGGUCCAUCUCAGAUACCAGCUUCAUAAAGAAUUUCAUGUAUUCUCUUCCUUCCUUUCGCUGAAAUUUCCUGCCUAUAUUUAUCCAUUUUACUUUGUGUCAUGUAACAUUUACACUUUUGUGUUACAUUAAUUCAUUCAACUAUAUGUCUUUUCUGCCAGCAAAGUUUAUGCUUUUUUUAAAAUUUUAUAACUUUUAUGGAGCAUUUAUCAUGCUCACAUCACCAUGUUAAGUUGUGUAUAUGGAAAGGCAAAUAUGACAUUGUCUUUAUUCUAAGGGAGUGCUCCAUAUAUUACACUGGAUAUGCAAGUCAAUAAUUAUACUCAAAAAUACUAAGUAUACUUAAUAGCAUCAACUAUUUUAUUAUCAGAAUACAGAGAUGUCAAAAAUGGCUUCAAGACGAUCUCUCAUUUUAACCGAGAUCCCAGGAAGGACUAGUAAUUAGGUUUUUAAGUAAUACUAUAGAUCUACCAUCUGAGAAGAAUGCCUACCCUUGAAUUAGUCAUGUCAUGUUGACACGCAGCUACUUUCCAUAUUUUCAACAAUGAUUCUUCAACUGCUACAAUGUAGAAUAUUUCAUAAUCCUACAGCACAAGCAAAAUGCCCUUUCCCUAAUUAUCUGCCUCAGAUCUAAUAUUAUGGCAUAAUAUUUAUGAAUGGCCAGACACUUCCUUAAACAUUUUUCAAUGAUGCUGUUUUCCUUUCCUUGACUCAAUUACAUUUUGUAUAACGCAUCUGGUAUUUUCCUGUCUUCUAAUAGAAACCUGUUCCAACUGAUUUAAAAUUCAGAAAACAUGAGCAAGAUAAGCUCUGAUAACUUUUCUGAUUCUCUUGUAGGUGUAUAAAAUGCUAUGGCAUUGAGAGAGGUUUGAAGCGGGAAGACACUGAUGGGUCAUUGAAGUGUGUGAAAUCUCAGUGAGAAAUUGCCUCUUUGAGUCAUGACGGAUCCAGAGCCUUGUCUGGUCCCCACGGUGUUGUCUAUAAAAUCUCCUGUGCUGCAUUAAGACAGGUAGUCUGUCAUUCAGUUUCAGUGUAUUUUGGAAUAUACUUAGAAGCAAAAAAAAUCCUACCGUAGCUUUUUUCCCUGUACUCAAGUAUAAACUUCUUUUCUUUCUCUAAAAUCAAUAUUGCUUUUAUUAAUUAAAAUUUUGUUUAUAUUUUAAUCAACAAAUAAUAAUUGUGCAUAUUUAUGGGGUACAUAGUGAUUUUUUGAUUUAUACAAUGUAAAGUGAUCAGAUCAUGGCAGUUGGCAUAUCCAUCAUCUCAAAAACAUGCUUCCUAAGAACAAUACUCAGUUCAUAAUCAUUUUACAUCUUCCAGUUGGUCAAAGUUAAUAUUCUGCAGAGAGCAGAAACUGAGUGUUAUUUGAGGAAAAACUUUCAAGUUCUGAUGGAACUUUAGUUAAGUAGUUGCAAAUACUUUUUGACACUUGCAAAAAGUAUACAUUUGAGAAUAUUUUUUCACAUAGAUAAAUAAAUAUAUUACAAGGAAAUGGCUGAAUUAUCCAAUGGAGAGUACUUAAAAGAAAAACUGAAGAAAAACAGCAAAAUUGGAACUGGCAUAAUCAACCAGCAUGAUGCAGUAAUUAUUUCCUCUCUCCCAUAUUCCCACUGAGAUAUGCAAUAUAAUAUAGAAUUAGAGGGAAAGUUACAUCAGCACCAGCAGUAGAAAGUAGGGCAGCAUGCUGCCACCUGUAAGAAAUUGAAAAUAUUGUUGUUAUACUAGAAUAUUCCCGUUAUUCUUCAACUGUUUUGGGUUCAUUAAGGGUCUCCAGAUAAACAGAACCAAUAAGAUACACACACACACACACACACACACACACACACACACGCAUAGUUGUAUGUACAUCUGUACAUCAGUACAUAUAUACACAUGCAU
Molecule: long non-coding RNA, 4165 nt
Filed under: Callithrix jacchus (white-tufted-ear marmoset)
Lineage: Eukaryota; Metazoa; Chordata; Mammalia; Primates; Cebidae
Description: lncRNA (ENSCJAG00000085006.1)
Source: RNAcentral